AUACUUACCUGGCAGGGGAUACACCAUGGUCACAAAGGUGGCUUUCCCACAGUAGGGCAUCACCAUUGUACUCAGCAUGUACUGACCCUUGCAAUUUUCCUAAAUUUGGGAAACUUGGCAGCAUAACUUGUGGUAGUGGCACUGCAUUCCAU
This 152-nucleotide small nuclear RNA is filed under the name Neotoma lepida (desert woodrat). Its description in RNAcentral is "U1 spliceosomal RNA". It matches the Rfam family "U1 spliceosomal RNA". From Rfam's summary of the family: U1 is a small nuclear RNA (snRNA) component of the spliceosome (involved in pre-mRNA splicing). Its 5' end forms complementary base pairs with the 5' splice junction, thus defining the 5' donor site of an intron. The record is from Rfam by way of RNAcentral. Lineage: Eukaryota; Metazoa; Chordata; Mammalia; Rodentia; Cricetidae.